CAAGACUAAUGGUCUGAUUCUGGCAACUACAUCCAGCUAAGAGUGUCACAGUGAGACGGUCAGUGAGAUCACCCCUGGUUAUUUUUGACAUUGUAUUCAGUUACACUAUGAGCUAAUACACAGCAGUAUUGAUUGUAGACUGUGUUGCAUGCUGCUAUGUUAGGUUGUGGCCAUUUCUGGGAUGGCCAUAAUAUAUCAUUACUGGGUUUUCAUUUUCUCAUAACCCUGUGCUAUUUUUAACGUGGG
Pelobates cultripes (western spadefoot toad) is the source of this 246-nucleotide non-coding RNA. The record is from the annotation of a GenBank genome assembly. NCBI's taxonomy places the organism in Eukaryota, Metazoa, Chordata, Amphibia, Anura, Pelobatidae.